GCCCCGGAGAGCUGCAGGGCGGGUCUUUGUCGCGUUGAGACAAAGCCGCUGAACCUGAGCCGUCGCCUGUGCAGGUGCGCGGGCUCGUUCGCGGGAGGCGUGCGCUCGGGGAGCGGGCUUCCUGCACGAGGUCGCCGCUCAGAGGCUGAUUGGACGGAAUCUCGCGACACCCAAGAUUUUUACCAUUAAAGUGGUGGAUUAAAUGUUCAUGCUGGUUCAUGCUUUUCCAUGAUGGCGUGUGCACAGAACCCUGAUUUGCAGCUCUGGUGUUUCUCUCUGUUUAUUGAAAGCAUCUACCUCACAGGACUGCCAGUAUUGGUCACAUUACCCUAACUGGCCAUGAAUACAACUGUUGACAGGACCGAGGAUUAUGGAUUUUUGCAUCUCCAGCUCCGUACGUGGAUUCUGUGAGAUGGUCCCCCAUUUGCCCUGCACCGUUUGUUGAAUGCUCCAUGUUUUCUCCGUUGACAUGAAAUGCCUCCCAGGGGAUUCUUGGGCAGACUUCAUGGCUUCUGAGCUGAGCUUGUGGUGACAGUGGUUCCUCUUUGUGAAACCUCUCCAGGCAGGCAGAGACCUCAAACAUGCCACUGAGAGCUGCAAACAAGUCAAACCUGCACCAGUACCGGCAUACGUGAGGUCUCCAAAUUGCAGCCUGGAAUGAUGUGAGCACAUGAUUCCCAUCUAGUUGGUUUCUCCACCCCACAUACCAUCUCUCCAAUAAAGUCAGGAGGUGACAGGGAAUAGUCACAUGGUUUUGGUUGUUUGUUUUGCAGACUUUACUCCAUCAACAUGUGAGGAAGACCCGAACUUAAUAUUUGCAAAGCACUUUGAACUAUGGAGAAGAAAGGUGCUAUGUAAUCCUCGUGUUAUCUUUUAGGUUUCAAGCAUGUUACUGUGACAUCAGCAUCCUAGGCUUAAUGAAGGUUUAUUUCAGUUAAUAUAAGUUCAUCCCUCUGUGUUCAACUAGCUGUGAAACCAAGCCACUGGGUGUGGAUUAUGAGGGCUGAAGUUUUGGGGGGUGGGGUGAAAUUUUUCAGAAUUCGUGAUAGCACAUGAGACCACUGAAGCCGGUUUACCUGCCUUCUAUCUACAAGGAUGCUUUUUAAACUAGGACACACAUCUAUUGUUCAGUGAUAAUGAUAGUGAUAAUGCUGACACUAAGAUACUGCAAAAUCCUUCUGCACCUUUUGAAUUAAGUUCUGAAUCAUCAAAAAUAAUUAUAAGAAAUAUAACUUAAGUCUCAAGACAAUUUGGCUGUGUUCCUUAAUGGUUAGGAGUUUUGUUUAAGACACAGACAAGGGUGAGUUUAAUCUUGAUUCUUCCACCUUUUAUCUGAGUAACUUUGAGCAAGUAUCCCAACUUCUGUAAGCUUUAAUUUCUCAUAUAUAAAAUGGUGAUAAUAAUAGUACUUAUUGUUAUAGGGAUUAAUAAGAAAAUCCAUUUAAAGCAAAAUAAGGCACUUCCUAUCUGAUUGGCAAAGAUCAAAAAGAUCAAUAACACCUCUGAUGGUGACUGGUGGAGACAGGUAUACUGCUCAAGGGGGCGUACAUCGAUACAGCCCCCACAUAACACAGUUUACAGUAUCUCUCAAUAUCUAUCAAAGGCACACACAUACCUCUGACCAGCACUUCCUCUAGCUGGAAUUUAUUGAACAGAUGUACUUAUAAAUGAGCAAAUUGAUAACUGUAGCAGAUAUUUAUUGCAGUGCUGUUACAGUAAGAAUAGAGUGGAAAAAA
This is a long non-coding RNA of Balaenoptera musculus (blue whale), 1736 nucleotides long. RefSeq lists it as uncharacterized. The record is from RefSeq and is a predicted model, not a curated record. Lineage: Eukaryota; Metazoa; Chordata; Mammalia; Artiodactyla; Balaenopteridae. The transcript has 4 exons.